Molecule: ribosomal RNA, 140 nt
Filed under: uncultured bacterium
Lineage: Bacteria
Description: partial 16S ribosomal RNA
Rfam family: Bacterial small subunit ribosomal RNA
Source: RNAcentral
UGGGGGAUAUUGGACAAUGGGGGGAACCCUGAUCCAGCGACGCCGCGUGAGUGAAGAAGUAUUUCGGUAUGUAAAGCUCUGUCAGCAGGGAAGAAAGAAAUGACGGUACCUGACCAAGAAGCCCCGGCUAACUACGUGCC